AACGAGGCACCGCGAGUUCCCAGCGCUCGGGGCGGAGGAAAGGGAACCUUUCCCUGCCUUUCCCUUCACCUGGGCUGUUCCCAAGCACAGCCCACGCAGGUGCUGCCUCACUCGGUGCUGCUGGAGAAUCUACUCGGGAAUAUCCUGUUUUCCCAGGCCAGGGAAGGCACAGCGAUCUUCUGCAGCUGAGAAACUUUCCUGUUUCAUCAAGAUUUUAAGCUGCAAAUAUUCGGUGAAGAGUUGUGUGCCAGCCUGCCCCAGUCAGCCCACAGACAUAUUCCGUUUGUCACACUGUGUGGAGGAAUAGCAGUGUCUGACACAGGCCUCGGCACCCUGAAAUCCCUUGCCCAGGAGGAGAAGGGGAAGAAAAGGCUGCACAGGAGAGGCCAGGACAGACUCGGGGUUCUGGGUUGUGUCUCCAAAAGCCUUUGUCCCCCACGGAAGGGCCUGUGCCGCGUGUCCCCGAGCACAGCGGAGAUCUGUCACUCGGGAUGUUCCCACGGGAGCUCAGAGCCUGGCACAGGCUGCAGACAGCACACAGCGGUCACUGCCACCCAUUCCUGCCAAAAUCCCUGCACGAAGGGUGACGUAAUCGGGGAGCAAGUUUCUGCUCGGUGGGGGCUGGCAGCACUCACAGCCCCGUUUGGAACGGCAGCUCCAGGCACGAACCACGCUGGGAUCCAGGGAUCCAUGGCGCGGCCCAGGCCGGCGGUGCCGCGUCCCCAGGCUCGCGGCGUGCCCCAGUUUGAGGGGCUGCGAGCGCUCCUGAAGGGUAUGACCCACUUCCCAGCCCUCCCUCCAGCUCGCUGACAUCCUUUUCUCGCCGUUCCCAAGGGCACCGGCUCACGGGGGAAAAUCCUGGAGUGUUUUAAUAAAGAGG
Molecule: long non-coding RNA, 880 nt
Filed under: Parus major (Great Tit)
Lineage: Eukaryota; Metazoa; Chordata; Aves; Passeriformes; Paridae
Description: lncRNA (ENSPMJG00000016254.1)
Source: RNAcentral